CCUACGGGGUGCUGCAGUGAGGAAUAUUGGUCAAUGGACGAGAGUCUGAACCAGCCAAGUAGCGUGAAGGAUGACUGCCCUCUGGGUUGUAAACUUCUUUUAUAAAGGAAUAAAACGAGGCACGUGUGCCUUUUUGCAUGUACUUUAUGAAUAAGGAUCGGCUAACUCCGUGCCAGCAGCCGCGGUAAUACGGAGGAUCCGCGCGUUAUCCGGAUUUAUUGGGUUUAAAGUGAGCGUAGAUGGGUUGUUAAGUCAGUUGUGAAAGUUUGCGGCUCAACCGUAAAAUUGCAAUUGAUACUGGCAGUCUUGAGUACAGUUGAGGGAGGCGGAAUUCGUGGUGUAGCGGUGAAAUGCGUAGAGAUCACGAAGAACCCCGAUUGCGAAGGCAGCUGACUAAACUGUGACUGACAUUGAUGCUCGAAAGUGUGGGGAUCAAACAGGAUUAGAUACCCCAGUAGUC
RNAcentral lists this ribosomal RNA (460 nucleotides) under uncultured bacterium. RNAcentral's name for it is "partial 16S ribosomal RNA". It matches the Rfam family "Bacterial small subunit ribosomal RNA", at positions 338 to 795 of the family's 1533-position model. The record is from RNAcentral.